GGAACAUCGGAUUACUCAUCUGGUGGCAGGUGGGUGUCGGAGCUGGCUGUGGACCCCACCGUCUGUAGCCAGUCCGCAGCAGCUUUCCUCUCUGGCAAACUCACAGCAAGCAUGCAGGGUGAUAAAACGGCAGUGACAAAUCCAGUGCAAUCAGGUGGGAAAUCCCCCCUGAGUAAUAACACCUCCUCAUCGCUCAUCCCGACCUCUUCCCCUGAGCCCCGCGUCUGCCGCUGAGAACUCAGCGCUGUUUUACCUUCAGCCCUGAGCUCCGCACAGGAAAAAGAAGAGAAAAGUGAGACACGGGAGUCUGGAGGAUCUCAAUCAAUGGUCAGAAAGGAGUACCCAGAAUGUCUACUGAUUGCCUCACUCCACGCAGAAUAUGCAACAUUCAUCCUUUCUCUAUCGCACCCUCCCUGCAUCUCCCAUCAUUCUUGACUCAGAGAAGAAGGCGUCAAGCAUCCUUUCAAGUACCUUCCCCAGGGUUGUCAUCAACUUAACUCCUCUUCAGUUUCCACUGCUACUAGUAAAGUAAUCAUGAUUUACGAAGAAUCCAUGGAAAAAUUUUGCAUCUAUUAAUUAUCUGACUUAAUCUUUACCAGAUUGUUAUUAAGCAAGAAUUACUAUUACCCUGAUUUUCACAGAUGAGGAAAUUGAGGAUAAGGAAAUUUAGGAACCUGCCUAGAGUUACACAACAAGGAAGUUGCAGAGGGGAGGGUUUUUGCCAAGGUUUCUAUGAUUCCAAUGUUAUCACUUUUCUAAUGCAUCUGCUGACCGAGACUGAAGAAUCAACUACCUCCUCCAGAAGGUCAGUUACCCAAGAAAUCUCUGGGACUGAGGAGAACGGGGGAACAGGAGACAGAUCGGAGAGGCUGGGACAUGGAGAUUUGCUUCAUAUGCAAAGAACUCAUCUCCUAGAAUUUUGCAGCAUCUUCCAGAGUCUAAGCUUGUGUUUUGACGUGCCCUUUCCAAGACAAGGGGAUACGUGAAGCUCAGUGAAUCAGGAGCGUUUACGGAGGAGAAAGAAAAUAAGAUCUUCUCCCCAGCUAAAAAUCCAGGCAUUGUCCUUGGCUGGAAAACCUCUCUUGGAUUGUAUGGACAGACUGAAAAUACAUCUUAGCAUCCAAACAUAGACAGCCAGGGCAUGGACUCAGGCUUGAUGCCCAAAGAGAUCCUCAUCAUCAUACCUUAGAAGUACCACAUCCUUUGUUCUUCCUGGCUAAACCCCUUCAGCCAACAUCCCUGCCUGCAGGGUAAGCAAUUUACUUACAGUUAAACUGCUAAUAAGUAGGGAAUCAUGGAUCAAUCAGAAACACUAAAUAUUUCAAAAUAUUUAGGGUCAAUAUUUCAAAAAACAUUGCAACAUUUGUACAUUUACCUGCUACAAGUUUGCAUGGGCAGGAACCAUAUCAAGUCCAUUAAAAUUCCUGAUUUCCUUAUGUCUAGCAAAAUCUUUGAUCACUAGUUAUGUAUAUUUCAGUUAAUAAAAAUGAAGAGCAUGAGUACUCUUCCAUAAGAAAUGCAGCGUGUUGGGAUAUACAGAAUUUUGCAAAACAGAGUAGAAUGGGGAUGGUUAUCAUAACACAGUGGGCCCAUCAGUGUAGUGGAGUUCAACAUUUUUGAUUCCUUCCAAAUUUCCAGAUUUCAUCUUUGAUGUUGGGAAUGUAAAGACUGAUAUAGCACAAUCAUGGUCCUCCAGAAAUGUAUCAGAUUGUUGGGGAAACAAAUAGAUGCAGAAAUAGUUAUCUGCGUGAUACAGCAAAUACAAACAUGUGCAAGAUGCUCCAAGGAUGUAGAAAGAGAAGCCCUGGUUGGGCUUGUGUGGAGGAGAUGUGGGAAAGGGGGCUUUCUCAAGGAAGCGAUGUCUGAACUCAGACGUGAAGGAACAGCAGAGCUUACCCUCCCCACAGGAGGUUGUACUGUACAGCAUGAGCAAAGAAAGGAGGAAGGUGUAAAGACAUUACCUUUGGUGCAAAGAUUGGCAUAGCUGUCCCACAACCUAUUUGAAUUAACAUUUGUCAAUGAGACACCAACAUCAAAUGCUAUCACUGACAUGUGGAAUCUAAAAAAAGGACACAAUGAACUUCUUUGCAGAACAGAUACUGACUCACAGACUUUGAAAAACUUACGGUUUCCAAAUGAGACAGGUUAGCGGGUGGGGGGAUGCACUGAGGGUUUGGGAUGGAAAUGCUGUAAAAUUUGGUUGUGAUGAUUGUUGUACACCUAUAAAUGUAAUAAAAUUCAUUAAGUAAUAAAAAAGGAAAAAAAACUUUACAAUGAUAUAUAAAAAAUAAUAAUGUUUAUCAUGGUAGGUCUCCAUGCAUUAAGAAUUUACUGAGAGGCUAUUCUAUGCCAAGCCUAACAGUGGGCACCCAGGGUGGAUAGCUCAAAUGUCAUGUCUCCAAAAAUCCACAUUUCAGGAGAGAAAACGAUGCAACACUGUGCAAUGAGCUUGAAAGACCUCACCCAUAAUACAUGCUGGACCAGGAGCUUUAUUUGGUAGAAAUGCUUUGAAAAUAUUUUUUUUUGUUUUUAUCUUGCCACUGGAUGUGUC
This 2551-nucleotide long non-coding RNA is filed under the name Sus scrofa (pig). RNAcentral's name for it is "lncRNA (ENSSSCG00055023692.1)". Lineage: Eukaryota; Metazoa; Chordata; Mammalia; Artiodactyla; Suidae. The record is from RNAcentral.